Molecule: ribosomal RNA, 305 nt
Filed under: uncultured bacterium
Lineage: Bacteria
Description: bacterial SSU rRNA
Rfam family: Bacterial small subunit ribosomal RNA
Source: RNAcentral
AUCCUACGGGGCGCAGCAGUGGGGAAUAUUGCACAAUGGGCGAAAGCCUGAUGCAGCAACGCCGCGUGAGCGAUGAAGGCCUUCGGGUCGUAAAGCUCUGUCCUCAAGGAAGAUAAUGACGGUACUUGAGGAGGAAGCCCCGGCUAACUACGUGCCAGCAGCCGCGGUAAUACGUAGGUGGCGAGCGUUAUCCGGAAUGAUUGGGCGUAAAGGGUGCGUAGGCGGCCUGCUAAGUCUGGAGUGAAAGGUACCGGCUCAACCGGUACAGGCUCUGGAAACUGGCGGGCUAGAGAGCAGGAGAGGGG